UUGCAUCUGUUUAGCUUUGUCUGGGGCAUUGUUUUCUUGGUCAAGACCUGCACUGGUAAUCAGUGGAAUUAACAAGGGAUCGAGCUGUGGCCAUCACGUCCUCUACUCAGGUGCAGUUGCUGGAGCUAGAGAAGCUUUAAUUUGUAGUGUACCUUCCAUAUCAAUUUCAUUGAAUUGGUGAAUGGAAAUCUCCUUGUUAUUGUGGUAUUUGCUUGUUGUGUUG
This is a long non-coding RNA of Magnolia sinica, 223 nucleotides long. RefSeq lists it as uncharacterized. Lineage: Eukaryota; Viridiplantae; Streptophyta; Magnoliopsida; Magnoliales; Magnoliaceae. The transcript is spliced from 3 exons. The record is from RefSeq and is a predicted model, not a curated record.